CAGCCGCCACGGUAAUACGUAGGGUGCAAGCGUUAAUCGGAAUUACUGGGCGUAAAGCGUGCGCAGGCGGUUAUAUAAGACAGAUGUGAAAUCCCCGGGCUCAACCUGGGAACUGCAUUUGUGACUGUAUAGCUAGAGUACGGCAGAGGGGGAUGGAAUUCCGCGUGUAGCAGUGAAAUGCGUAGAUAUGCGGAGGAACACCGAUGGCGAAGGCAAUCCCCUUGGCCUGUACUGACGCUCAUGCACGAAAGCGUUGGGAGCAAACAGGAUUAGAUACCCCUGUAGUCCCUGUCUCUUAUAC
Molecule: ribosomal RNA, 301 nt
Filed under: uncultured bacterium
Lineage: Bacteria
Description: partial 16S ribosomal RNA
Rfam family: Bacterial small subunit ribosomal RNA
Source: RNAcentral